This 927-nucleotide long non-coding RNA is filed under the name Mytilus galloprovincialis (Mediterranean mussel). The record is from RNAcentral. Lineage: Eukaryota; Metazoa; Mollusca; Bivalvia; Mytilida; Mytilidae.
AUAUUGUUAAUAUUUAAUUGACUAUUUGUCAAUUUCAUCAAUUCAUAUAUGUGUUCUUGGCUUGAUUGAAGUCCUAAAGUAUUUAAGGAAUUUGUUACUUUUUUUGCUUUGGGUAAAUGGAUUGCUCUCAUAGUUAGUUCAUAGACUUUGAGUAUUUUGUAUAAUUUACAUGUUAAAGUAUUGCUAUUUUAAUUUCAACAUUUGCACUAUACCAUAAAAAUUUUAAACAGGCGAAACAUAUCUCUGUGUCAACAAUUUGUUAUUCAUUAUGUUCUUUUGAAUAGCCAUAUUUUGGAUUUGUUCUUUUGGGUAGCCAUAUUUUGGAUUUUAUCAAUCCGGAGAUUUUACAUAUUCUUUUAAACUCAAGUUUUUGACAAUUUUUUUUUUAUCCCAAAGGAAUGCAAUUUUUUUCUAAUGAGUUUAAAGAUUAUUGUUAAAAUGAAAUUGUUAUGUUACUGAGGAUUGUCUGUGCUUUUAGUUUUUGAAAAACUUUAAAUAUAUAUAUUUGUCCUGCUAUAUCUAGAAAUUUCUGAUUAUAUGGUCAACAUAUUGUGGAAAUGUUUUGUGUGACUUUGUAUAUGUGAAUAUAGAUACCAGUUUCUUGAAAGGCAUUCUUUUUUUUAUGCUGGAAAUAGUAUUUGUAUUCUUUAAUACAUAUAUAUGUAUACAUUUCACUGAUACAUGUUAUGAAUCCUGUCCAAAACAAACCUUGAGGGUUUGAAGAUUUUGUUCAUGUCUGUUGUUGUUUUUAUACAGGUUAAAUAUUUUUCUGUUUAUCCAGUUACAUAAGUCCAGUUUGGAUAGAUUUAUUGUUUUGGGGAUACAAAGUUGAAAAUUUAGUGAACAUAUUUUAAAGCAUACAUUUGUAAAUGACAUUGAACAAGUUUUUUUCUUUAUACAUUUUGAUAAUGUUAAUGUUGUAAUCAC